AUAUAAAAAGGCCUUUAAUUUUGAUAUAUGAACAUUACACAUUUAAGUGUUUGUUUGUAUCAGCAAGCAUUUGCCAAAUAUUGAUUGUAUUACAACAAAGUUCUGUGCUACUGUACUUUAGCCUUCACUGAAGACAACCAAUAUAAAUGGGGCGUGUGCAGGAAGACAUAUGUUAGCAAUGUUCAAGUUCAUAUGUUAUCUUAUACACAUCUCAUCUAUAUCUGGCCACAUACUUCCAAAAUGCUGUUCCUCAAUUUACGAGUUUUUAAGGUUGUAUGCCAUUAAUCUUGAAUAAUCAACAUUACUAGUUCUAGUGUUUGAUUGUUUCAGGAAACAUUUACAAAAUAUUGAUCAUAUUUCCACCAAGUUCUGUGGGAUUCUGUGGGAAGUACUGUAGCCUUGACCGAAGACAACAAAUAUCAAUUGGCCGUGUUUAGGAAGAAAUAUAUUAACAAUGUUCAAGGUCAAAUGUUAUUUUAUGCACAACUCAUCUAGAUCUGGCCUAAUUUUGUUUAAAUGCUGUUCCUCAAUUUACAAAUUUUUGAAGGUCGUAUACCAUUUUUUAUUUGGUUUUUAAAAAUUUAAUUUAAUUAGGUUUUUAUUUAAUAAAUUAAUUCUCAAACAACUUUAUUUUUAAAGCCAAAUUAUUCUUAAUUGCUCCGUAUUAUAUAAUAUUUCCCUUAACUUUAUUAUAUUAACAACAAAUAUUAUUCAAUACAUUAUAAAUAUUUUAAGUUCUGUAGUUUAUUGUUAUAAUUUUAAAAUUGUAUAAUAAUAAGAAACCCUCACCUGAUAAUUUAAAUGUGUGAUGUUCAGGAAGCAUCUGCCUCACAAUAGGCAUUCUUCUCCAAAGAUAAACUAUAUGAAUGCGAUGUUUGUGAGAAGAAAUAUGUAAAGAAUGAUUAUGAUCAUAUAACUUCUCUCACAUAUCGCAUACAUAUUUGUUUUAAACUGCUCAUAUGUUACACCUGNAAUUAUGUUUUUAUUUAAUAAAUUAAUUCUCAAACAUCUUUAUUUUUAAAGCCAAAUUAUUCUUAAUUGCUCUGUAUUAUAUAAUAUUUCCCUUAACUUUAUUAUAUUAACAACAAAUAUUAUUUAAUACAUUAUAAAUAUUUUAAGUUCUGUAUUUUAUUGUUAUAAUUUUAAAAUUGUAUAAUAAUAAGAAACCCUCACCUGAUAAUUUAAAUGUGUGAUGUUCAGGAAGCAUCUGCCUCACAAUAGGCAUUCUUCUCCAAAGAUAAACUAUAUGAAUGCGAUGUUUGUGAGAAGAAAUAUGUAAAGAAUGAUUAUGAUCAUAUAACUUCUCACUCAUAUCGCAUACAUAUUUGUUUUAAACUGCUCAUAUGUUACACCUGGUCUACACAUUUGUAACAGUAAUUAUUUUGAAACUCUGUAUUUAGUUUUGCAUACUUUAAAAUUUUUUCUCCCAUUUUAACAAAUUAUUGAAUAUGAUGUUUUACAAAACACUAUGUUCAAAUUUUUUUAUUUUGAAUAAGACUUAUAUCUACAUAGUAUUAAACAUCUGACAAGAAAUGUAUGAAUAUUAUUGUUGCAUUUUUUAAAAGGACAUAAUUUUAAUGAUAUAAGGCCUUUGAUGUAGAAUUAUGAACAUUACUUAUUCUAGUGUUUGUUUGUACCAAGAAGCAUUUGCGAAAUAUUUCUCAUAUUAUAACCAAGUUCUGUACUCUUGUACUUUAGUCUUGACUGGAGAGAACCAAUAUUUAUGCAGUUUGUGAAGGAAUAUAUAUGUUAGCAAUGUUCAAGUUCAUAUGUUAUCUUAUACACAUCUCAUUUAUAUCUGGCCAUAUACUGUUUAAAUGUAGUUCUUCAAUUUUCACAUUAUUAAAGGUUGUAUGCCAUUAAUAUUUGAUCAUGCACAUUAUUAAUUCUAUUUUUUGAUUGUUUCAGGAAGCAUUUGCCAAAAAUUGAUCAUAUUGCCAUUGAGUUCUGUGCUAUUGCAACAUCACUUUUACUGAAGACAACCAAUACUCAUGCAGUUUUUGUAGGAAGACAUAUGCUAAGUACUUUCAAGACAAGUGUCAUCUUACACACAACUCAUCUUAAUCUGGCUACACACUGUUUAAAUGCAGUUCUUCAAUUUUCACAUUAUUAAAGGUCAUAUGCCAUUAAUAUUGAAUUAUGAAUAUUAUUAUUUCUAGUGUUUGAUUGUUUCAGGAAAGAUUUGACAAAUAUUGAUUAUGAAUAUUAUUAUUUCUAGUGUUUGAUUGUUUCAGGAAAGAUUUGACAAAUAUUGAUC
RNAcentral lists this long non-coding RNA (2257 nucleotides) under Cinara cedri. The record is from RNAcentral. Lineage: Eukaryota; Metazoa; Arthropoda; Insecta; Hemiptera; Aphididae.